Molecule: unclassified non-coding RNA, 169 nt
Filed under: rhizosphere metagenome
Description: partial ribosomal RNA internal transcribed spacer region
Source: RNAcentral
GAGAACAUGCCCUCACGGGCACAUCUCCCACCCUUUGUUUACCAUAUCUUUGUUGCCUUGGCGGGCAUCUGGCUCACGCCGGCGCCCGCCAGAGGACCCAAACUCUUGUUUUAUGUCGUCUGAGAAAAACUUAAUAGUUAAAACUUUCAACAACGGAUCUCUUGGUUCU